CCAAUAGCGUAUAUUAAAGUUGUUGCAGUUAAAAAGCUCGUAGUUGAAUUUCGGGAUCAGAAGGUCGGUCGUGCCAAUGGUAUGCACUGGCCUUUCUGAUUCCUCCCUCUUGAUGAGCCGUAAUGUCAUUAAUUUGGUGUUGCGGGGAAUCAGGACUGUUACUUUGAAAAAAUUAGAGUGUUUAAAGCAGGCAAGCGCUUGAAUACAUUAGCAUGGAAUAAUGAAAUAGGACGUUCGAUCCUAUUUUGUUGGCUUCUAGGAUUGACGUAAUGAUUAAUAGGGAUAGUUGGGGGCAUUAGUAUUCAAUUGUCAGAGGUGAAAUUCUUGGAUUUAUUGAAGACUAACUACUGCGAAAGCAUUUGCCAAGGAUGUUUUCAUUAAUCAAGAACGAAAGUUAGGGGAUCGAAGACGAUCAGAUACCGUCGUAGUCUUAACCAUAAACUAUGCCGACUAGGGAUCGGAUGAUGUUAAUUUUUUAAUGACUCAUUCGGCGCCUUACG
Molecule: ribosomal RNA, 500 nt
Filed under: uncultured Glomeromycotina
Lineage: Eukaryota; Fungi; Glomeromycota
Description: partial small subunit ribosomal RNA
Rfam family: Eukaryotic small subunit ribosomal RNA
Source: RNAcentral